UGUUAAAAAAAAUAAUUCAUUUAUAUUGUUAAAAAUUGGCGUGGUUGAUGGAAUAACUAGGAAGUGACAUGUGACAUGUCACGUGUACCUCAUGUUGACAUAUAUGCACCAGUUUUUAGCAAUAAAACUUGAUAAAUUUCUAAUA
This is a non-coding RNA of Gossypium hirsutum (cotton), 145 nucleotides long. The record is from Rfam. Lineage: Eukaryota; Viridiplantae; Streptophyta; Magnoliopsida; Malvales; Malvaceae.